GUACACUCCUGCGGGAGGCAGCAGUGGGGAAUAUUGCACAAUGGGCGCAAGCCUGAUGCAGCCAUGCCGCGUGUAUGAAGAAGGCCUUCGGGUUGUAAAGUACUUUCAGCGGGGAGGAAGGCGAUAAGGUUAAUAACCUUGUCGAUUGACGUUACCCGCAGAAGAAGCACCGGCUAACUCCGUGCCAGCAGCCGCGGUAAUACGGAGGGUGCAAGCGUUAAUCGGAAUUACUGGGCGUAAAGCGCACGCAGGCGGUCUGUUAAGUCGGAUGUGAAAUCCCCGGGCUCAACCUGGGAACUGCAUUCGAAACUGGCAGGCUAGAGUCUUGUAGAGGGGGGUAGAAUUCCAGGUGUAGCGGUGAAAUGCGUAGAGAUCUGGAGGAAUACCGGUGGCGAAGGCGGCCCCCUGGACAAAGACUGACGCUCAGGUGCGAAAGCGUGGGGAGCAAACAGGAUUAGAUACCCCUGUAGUCCC
This 474-nucleotide ribosomal RNA is filed under the name uncultured organism. RNAcentral describes it as "partial 16S ribosomal RNA". It matches the Rfam family "Bacterial small subunit ribosomal RNA", at positions 331 to 797 of the family's 1533-position model. The record is from RNAcentral.